RNAcentral lists this long non-coding RNA (1997 nucleotides) under Castor canadensis (American beaver). Its description in RNAcentral is "lncRNA (ENSCCNG00000028938.1)". The record is from RNAcentral. Lineage: Eukaryota; Metazoa; Chordata; Mammalia; Rodentia; Castoridae.
GCCCUGCAGCGCCGAGAGACCGAGGUCUACGCCUGUAUUGAGAACGAGGCUGGCAGUCCAGCCUCUGCCCAAAGCCAGCCCUCCCAGGAGAAACUGCAUAAAUUUGAGGAUGACAACGAAUUUAACUUGGUCUAUGAAAAUCUCUAGGAGAAGUUCUGCCAACCACGGGUCUUGUCCUGGACCAGAGGCCCUGGCGCAGCCCCUCAUGCCAAAGGACUUAAUCUGAACCAGGAGUAUGGCCUCCAGGGACAUACUAUCACCCUCAUCCUUACACUCAAGGCCCUCCUUUCCUCCGCCUGCCCCUCUCCCUCCCCCAUCCUGCACCCCAGCCUGAGCCUUUGCCCAGGCUGUUCCUCGUGCCAACUGGGCUCUUCCUCCCAUGGCCCAGUCAACAAAGUGCUUCUCACUCAGAAAGGAAGUGGCCUUUUUCCUGAAGCCCUCCUCACCAUCUUAUGCCCACCCCACAGAGUUUACAUGGCUGUCUUGGUCUAGGGGCAGACAAUGAUCUGCAAGGAAGACACAGCAGGGACCCUGCCAAUGCCGUGCAUGGGCACUGAGGAUGGACUAGCAGGGGACUGCAGAUGCUCCUACCUGCCCAGCUAGUCCAAAAGCACAAGGUGGCCUUGCUGGUGUGGCAGGGGUGGGGGAUGGGCAAGGAUGUUGAGCCACACAGAUGCUGGACUGGGCCCAGGGCCAGAUAUCAAGGCCAAGGAUGGAGCAAGUGGUGACUGUCAAACUGGGGCCCUGGAGCAGGGAGGGUUCCAUACAUGCAGGUUUCAACCUCCUCCCCGCUUGGCUCCUGCUCCUCCCAGCACUUGUGUGAGAAAAUCACCACUGGAAACCAAGCCUAGGAACUUAAUGUGGGUGCAGCAGCCGUGGCCCCCCCACCCAGACAGAAAUUUCCAGAGAAUUCUGUGCAGCAGUUUCCAUGGGAACAUGUGCCUCUUACUACCGAUCCUCUGUGGAGCUGGGGUUCCCUUCACAACCAAUAUCACAAGACUUUAGCAGGUGGCCUCGACUGGGGACAGCCACCACUCUGGCCACCAGCUCUCACUAACCUGAAAUCAAGUUACAGGCAAAACCUGCUUCUUUUUUCCCAUCUAAUUUAAAGGCUGUGCUCCAGGCUAAGGACGCCGCUGGGAUUUCAGGGAUGGAUUUUUAUGUUGUUCAACAGUUUUCUUGGCAGACAGCUCCUCCAGGAGAGGUGGCCCCUUACCUGAGCCCAGCCAGACUGAGUGGUGUCUCUCUGUUCCUCUUGAAUGCCAGGGGAUGGCAUUUGGAGUCUCUGAAUCCAGACUCGGGCAUUGAGGACAUGAACACAGGACUCUGGGAUAACUGCUUUCUAUGCUUCUCCUUUGAGCUAUGGUCAGAAUCUUGGCCUGAGACUUGACCCAGCUCAGGCCUGCACCCUGUGUGUACUUGGCGUUGGUAUGUGCUCACUGUGUGUAUCUAAGCAAGCAAGUGGUACAAAUUGACUCUGAUGCACCUGCCAUAUCCCGGUCUCCUUUGAAUGCCCUCCCCACAGGUCACUUACUUGGUUUAUUUGGGAGAGAGUCCUUCCUGCUGCUUUUAUUGCAUCUGUGUACAUAUAUGGGAACAGAUAAAACACAGAAUGUUUGUGGGGGGUCCUGAAGAGCUUGCUUGGUGUCAUUCUGUAGGUGUUGUUUGCACUGGGGAUCUGCCCAAGCUAGCAUAUCGGAGCUGCCAGACUCUAAUUAUAGCAGAGGACUCACAGGAAGGAUGGAUCCUAAUUUAAUCAAUCGGGCCCCUAUCAAUGGCCUCCUCAGUUGUUUACAAUUUUUCAACCUCGCCUAAGAUAAUGCAGGGAACAUGCUUGCACGCCCCUCCUUGAAUGUAUCUUCCAAGCUUUCUCCACAGAGAAAUGAUAAGAAGAGGUUUCUGGGAGUCCUGAGUGUGGACGUUUUAGUGUUUCAACAGACACUGCCAUGUGUCAGGCAUGGAUGUGGUUACUUGGACUCUUUCGCUACAGAAAGAGU